GAGUUUGAUCCUGGCUCAGGACGAACGCUGGCGGCACGCCUAACACAUGCAAGUCGAACGGAGAUAUUUUGGUUUACUGAGAUAUCUUAGUGGCGGACGGGUGAGUAACACGUGAGCAACCUGCCUCUGAGAGAGGGAUAGCUUCUGGAAACGGAUGGUAAUACCUCAUAACAUAACGAAGCCGCAUGACUUUGUUAUCAAAGAUUUAUCACUCAGAGAUGGGCUCGCGUCUGAUUAAAUAGUUGGUGAGGUAACGGCUCACCAAGUCGACGAUCAGUAGCCGGACUGAGAGGUUGAACGGCCACAUUGGGACUGAGACACGGCCCAGACUCCUACGGGAGGCAGCAGUGGGGAAUAUUGCACAAUGGGGGAAACCCUGAUGCAGCGAUGCCGCGUGGAGGAAGAAGGUUUUCGGAUUGUAAACUCCUGUCUAAAGGACGAUAAUGACGUACUUAGAGAUUGCKGC
Molecule: ribosomal RNA, 466 nt
Filed under: uncultured Bacillota bacterium
Lineage: Bacteria; Bacillati; Bacillota
Description: bacterial SSU rRNA
Source: RNAcentral